Non-coding RNA from Oryzias latipes (Japanese medaka), 553 nucleotides. The record is from RefSeq and is a predicted model, not a curated record. NCBI's taxonomy places the organism in Eukaryota, Metazoa, Chordata, Actinopteri, Beloniformes, Adrianichthyidae.
GGAUUUCAGACCGCAGCCACUGGUUCCAGGAGCUGUCCCUGUCCACGUCUUCCCGCGACGAGGGAAUGUCGAAGUCUCCUGCAGAUCACAGGGUGCUGCUGUUUCCUGUUUUGUCGCUGUUGUUGGUCGCAUCACUGCCCUGCCUGACCCGGUGCCGUUCGGUGCACCAUUGCUGAGGAGCAUUUCCGCUGCCGGGACUCCCAGCUUUGGUUGUGUCCCAUACCCGGACUCAGCUGACUGCCAUCCGUCCGCACUGGAGCAGCGUGGCAGAGCCGGAUAAAAGCAGUCGCUGCGGGUCUCUCCUCUCAGCUGCUUGGCGCCCCGGACAUCGCCGGAGUCAGUGCCCCCCCUCGGAUUGGCAUCAGUUGCCACCACUGGACGCAAGGGGGCAGCAAAGGGGCCUGCUUGCGCCGGGACGGAAACCGCGGCAGUUUGGCUCAGGUGACUGUGUGGGCUUGGUGUGAUCGUGGUUGGGUAUUUGUGUUUAAUUCUUUUUGGUGUGUCUCUUUGGCAUGAAGUUAAUAAAAAUUUGUCUAUUUUUUAGAGCACUGGU